This 637-nucleotide ribosomal RNA is filed under the name uncultured bacterium. RNAcentral's name for it is "bacterial SSU rRNA". It matches the Rfam family "Bacterial small subunit ribosomal RNA", at positions 607 to 1244 of the family's 1533-position model. The record is from RNAcentral.
GCUCAACCGGGGAGGGUCAUUGGAAACUGGGGAACUUGAGUGCAGAAGAGGAGAGUGGAAUUCCACGUGUAGCGGUGUAAUGCGUAGAGAUGUGGAGGAACACCAGUGGCGAAGGCGACUCUCUGGUCUGUAACUGACGCUGAGGCGCGAAAGCGUGGGGAGCGAACAGGAUUAGAUACCCUGGUAGUCCACGCCGUAAACGAUGAGUGCUAAGUGUUAGAGGGUUUCCGCCCUUUAGUGCUGCAGCAAACGCAUUAAGCACUCCGCCUGGGGAGUACGGUCGCAAGACUGAAACUCAAAGGAAUUGACGGGGGCCCGCACAAGCGGUGGAGCAUGUGGUUUAAUUCGAAGCAACGCGAAGAACCUUACCAGGUCUUGACAUCCUCUGACAACCCUAGAGAUAGGGCUUCCCCUUCGGGGGCAGAGUGACAGGUGGUGCAUGGUUGUCGUCAGCUCGUGUCGUGAGAUGUUGGGUUAAGUCCCGCAACGAGCGCAACCCUUGAUCUUAGUUGCCAGCAUUCAGUUGGGCACUCUAAGGUGACUGCCGGUGACAAACCGGAGGAAGGUGGGGAUGACGUCAAAUCAUCAUGCCCCUUAUGACCUGGGCUACACACGUGCUACAAUGGGCAGAACAAAG